GUAGCAAUACAUCACCGGCGGACGGGUGCGUAACACGUGGGAAUAUACCUUUCGGUACGGAACAACUGAGGGAAACUUCAGCUAAUACCGUAUACGUCCUUACGGAGAAAGAUUUAUCGCCGAAGGAUUAGCCCGCGUUCGAUUAGCUAGUUGGUGAGGUAAUGGCUCACCAAGGCAACGAUCGAUAGCUGUUCUGAGAGGAAGAUCAGCCACACUGGGACUGAGACACGGCCCAGACUCCUACGGGAGGCAGCAGUUGGGAAUCUUGGACAAUGGGGGAAACCCUGAUCCAGCCAUGCCGCGUGAGUGAUGAAGGCCUUCGGG
RNAcentral lists this ribosomal RNA (324 nucleotides) under uncultured bacterium. RNAcentral's name for it is "bacterial SSU rRNA". It matches the Rfam family "Bacterial small subunit ribosomal RNA", at positions 72 to 422 of the family's 1533-position model. The record is from RNAcentral.